This 386-nucleotide ribosomal RNA is filed under the name uncultured bacterium. RNAcentral describes it as "bacterial SSU rRNA". It matches the Rfam family "Bacterial small subunit ribosomal RNA", at positions 30 to 418 of the family's 1533-position model. The record is from RNAcentral.
AUUGAACGCUGGCGGCAUGCUUUACACAUGCAAGUCGAACGGACUUAGGUGCUUGCACCUAGGUUAGUGGCGAACGGGUGAGUAAUGCAUCGGAACGUACCGUGUAAUGGGGGAUAACGCAGCGAAAGUUGUGCUAAUACCGCAUACGAUCUACGGAUGAAAGCAGGGGAUCGCAAGACCUUGCGUUAUACGAGCGGCCGAUGUCGGAUUAGCUAGUUGGUAGGGUAAAGGCCUACCAAGGCAACGAUCCGUAGCGGGUCUGAGAGGAUGAUCCGCCACACUGGGACUGAGACACGGCCCAGACUCCUACGGGAGGCAGCAGUGGGGAAUUUUGGACAAUGGGCGCAAGCCUGAUCCAGCCAUGCCGCGUGAGUGAAGAAGGCCUC